RNAcentral lists this ribosomal RNA (487 nucleotides) under uncultured bacterium. RNAcentral describes it as "partial 16S ribosomal RNA". It matches the Rfam family "Bacterial small subunit ribosomal RNA", at positions 28 to 507 of the family's 1533-position model. The record is from RNAcentral.
GAUGAACGCUAGCGAUAGGCUUAACACAUGCAAGUCGAGGGGCAGCACAAGGUAGCUUGCUAUCUGGGUGGCGACCGGCGCACGGGUACGUAACGCGUAUGCAACUUUCCCUAUACAGGAGGCUAACCCGUCCAAAGACGGACUAAUACUGCGUAUGCUCACAACUUGGCAUCAAGUGGUGAGGUACGAAAUUCGGUAUAGGAUAGGCAUGCGUCCCAGUAGCUUGUUGGUGAGGUAACGGCUCACGAAGGCAACGAUGGGUAGGGUAUCUGAGUGGUUUAUCCCUCACACUGGUACCGAGCCCAGGACCAGUGUCCUACGGGAGGCAGCCCUGCGGGAUACAGGUCAAUGGACGAGAGCCUGAUCCAGCCAAGUCGCGUGAAGCAUGACUGUCUUAUGGAUUGUAACCUUCUUUUAUACGGGAAUAACAGGAGUCACGGGUGACUCCCUGCAUGUACCGGAUGAAUAAGCAUCGGCUAACUCCGUG